GUUGUAUGUCAUCUAAGAGUCAUUUAAGAAUCACACACAGUUGGUAUGGGGGGAAUUAUUUCACUAUGAUAAAUUUACUGACACAUUUUUCCUCGAAUACAUGUGCAUGGCAAUUGUUAACUAUGUUUUGCUUUUCAGUAGGAGCAGGCGACUCCAAUGCGAGACGGUCCAGAUCGGCAACGACACCCAGUAGAAACGGCGUUGAGGGGGUUUUACGACAUUGUUGGAUAAGCCAGGAGGUGGCCUGGGGGUGAUUAGCAUCACCAAAGGCUAUGUGAAGGGAUGCUUUUACACCUACCUCAACAUGAGGGACUGGGGGAGAACGGAAUAUAACUAGAGUAUCUGCCGAUUUGGGAACAUUAUUGCAUGCAGUGAAAAACACAAUCAUAAGAUUCUAAACAACAGAGUUGUGUAGAUGACAUUGAUUUAAGGUGUUAAGAAGAACAUACAGUCUUUCUAUCAAUGAAACAACUCACAAAUUGAUUAGAAUGUUUUUAGGAAAACACUAGAUGUUAGAGUUUAGCUACUCAAGUGGCAUUUUAGGGAUAACAGCAGACGAUGGCCAACGCAGGAAGAUCCAACCUGAACUUUUCUUCCUGGAACGAAUGUCCGAUUGGGGAAUCUUGUCCUAAUGGGACCUCCGGUUAGCAGAGUAGUCUGCUCACAGGAACUGAGGUGAUUCGAGGUCCAAGGAGGGAGCGUGAAGCUUAAUCACACGUCUAGGAUGACAGCUACGUGUCAUCUGACCAAACCGCUGACAACAACAGAUGUUCCAACAGAGGAACAUCAAGGAGGAGAAAAGGUGUGAAUAUGACAUCUGGAUUGCCACCUACUGAGGGUGGUCAUGACUGUGCAGAAGUAGCUAGGAAGGAGACGAAGGUGACGAACGCAGAGACAGCCGCCAGCCAAGGGAAGCAGGUUCCAGUCAUACCGCCAGGAAGCCG
Long non-coding RNA from Gasterosteus aculeatus aculeatus (three-spined stickleback), 944 nucleotides. The record is from Ensembl. Lineage: Eukaryota; Metazoa; Chordata; Actinopteri; Perciformes; Gasterosteidae.